This 253-nucleotide ribosomal RNA is filed under the name uncultured bacterium. RNAcentral's name for it is "partial 16S ribosomal RNA". It matches the Rfam family "Bacterial small subunit ribosomal RNA", at positions 524 to 776 of the family's 1533-position model. The record is from RNAcentral.
UACGAAGGGGGCUAGCGUUGCUCGGAAUCACUGGGCGUAAAGGGUGCGUAGGCGGGUCUUUAAGUCAGUGGUGAAAUCCUGGAGCUCAACUCCAGAACUGCCUUUGAUACUGAGAAGCUUGAGUCCGGGAGAGAUGAGUGGAACUGCGAGUGUAGAGGUGAAAUUCGUAGAUAUUCGCAAGAACACCAGUGGCGAAGGCGGCUCACUGGCCCGGUACUGACGCUGAGGUGCGAAAGCGUGGGGAGCAAACAGG